UACAGAGGGUGCGAGCGUUAAUCGGAUUUACUGGGCGUAAAGCGUGCGUAGGCGGCUUAUUAAGUCGGAUGUGAAAUCCCUGAGCUUAACUUGGGAAUUGCAUUCGAUACUGGUGAGCUAGAGUAUGGGAGAGGAUGGUAGAAUUCCAGGUGUAGCGGUGAAAUGCGUAGAGAUCUGGAGGAAUACCGAUGGCGAAGGCAGCCAUCUGGCCUAAUACUGACGCUGAGGUACGAAAGCAUGGGGAGCAAACAGGAUUAGAUACCCGGGUAGUCC
RNAcentral lists this ribosomal RNA (273 nucleotides) under uncultured Acinetobacter sp. RNAcentral describes it as "partial 16S ribosomal RNA". It matches the Rfam family "Bacterial small subunit ribosomal RNA", at positions 524 to 796 of the family's 1533-position model. Lineage: Bacteria; Pseudomonadati; Pseudomonadota; Gammaproteobacteria; Moraxellales; Moraxellaceae. The record is from RNAcentral.